This 1406-nucleotide long non-coding RNA is filed under the name Homo sapiens (human). RNAcentral describes it as "non-protein coding lnc-RFC4-1:5". The record is from RNAcentral. Lineage: Eukaryota; Metazoa; Chordata; Mammalia; Primates; Hominidae.
GAUGCUGUUCGUCGGGCGGCCGGGGCUUCCCGCGGGUGACAGGUCCCGGCUCGCGGCUCGCUGCCGGCACUCAGGUGCGGGAGGGGAACUCGGUUAUUCCGCUUGCUCCCACCGCUGUUUAAUUCCACAAUGAAGACCUGCCUGGCAUUUAGCCCGACCGUUAACAUCCAUUCAGAUCUUGGAAACGUAAAAUUCCUGCUAGGGAAAAUGUCGGCCACCCAGCGAGUCCCGGGAAGUCCGGUUUACCGGUACAUUUUGCAGCGCGAGAAGGAAAAAUGGAGUGUCAUUUGCAGAUGUCUCUGGAGUGGCCAAUUCUAUUCUCAUAUCAUUUCCGGUCUCUCGCUUUCUUUUUAAGAGUGUUACUGAUUUUAACCUAACAGGUGUGAGGAAUGCCUGAAAAAAAUCAUAAACUUUUGCAAAUGGAUAGAAACUAAGCAGUAAUUUUCCUUGGAACGCACGAAUUUAAAUGGACGCUUUGGCAGAUACAGCUCUGUGCCGCUUUGGGACUACAUCGGUUUUGAUUCCGUCUAUAUUGGUCAUUUUUUAAAGGCUGUAGACUUUGCCGAUAUAUAGUGAAAUGUUGAUUUAUUGAAAUUCAGAGCAAUAAUAUCCUUGCUGCGUAAACUGCACGGGUCUUUAAGCUCCAGACGUUUUCAAUUAGCCCCAUCUCAGGUCUCUCGACAAAAACAAAAAACAAUAUAUGUAGUCAUUUAACUUUAAAAUACAACCCUACCCAUGGUGCAAAAUAUCAUCGAGACUAUCAGGGUAACAUUUUCUCAUAUUUCAGAAGGCCAACUUAAAGAAUCAUUACUGGGAAAGCUGACUCAAUUUUCUAUAUUAUAGAAGAUAUUCGGUUCUAAAUACUACUUUUUUAAUACAAAAAUUAUUUAUUUAUUUGAAAAUUCUUAUCGUGCCAGGAACUAGGACAAAGAUUAAGAAUACCAAGAUGGCAAAGUGGGCCAGGCCCUCAGUCCAGUGGUACUGCUCCUCAUUCAUCCCUCUGUAAUGUUCGAAAUCCAGAUUUGAGGUGAUGCCAGAUAUUUUCUGAGAAUGAUGGUCGUCAGACAUCCUUGUUGUCUCAUCCAAAAUCUACUAAAAAUAUCCUGAGAUCUAAGAAAUUGAAAAAAUACUAAAUCGAAAAAGUGACCAACCGUUUGGUUUCACUUGAGCCUUAGGGUGAAAACAAUUGAUCAUAGGGUGAUACCAAUCAACAAUUAACACUUAAUCGUUGGUUGUUUUCUUUAGGAUUAGCACUACACUAGAUGGUGUAGGAUUUUCAAGUCUCUUAAGAGGAAAUAAAGGCUAAACUCUAUGGUAUAGGUUUACAAGUGCUAAGUAAGUUUCAAGGUAAGAAAACUUCAAAUACAGUCAAAAUCCACACCCACACUGCCUGUAACCUUACAGUG